Molecule: unclassified non-coding RNA, 240 nt
Filed under: Mortierella sp.
Lineage: Eukaryota; Fungi; Mortierellomycota; Mortierellomycetes; Mortierellales; Mortierellaceae
Description: partial internal transcribed spacer region
Rfam family: Eukaryotic small subunit ribosomal RNA (bases 1-46)
Source: RNAcentral
AAGUCGUAACAAGGUUUCCGUAGGUGAACCUGCGGAAGGAUCAUUCAUAAUUGAGUGUUUUAUGGCACUCUUUAAAAAAAUCCAUAUCCACCUUGUGCGCAACGUUUUUGAACUCUCUGGCAUUAAAAAGCCAAGAGGGUUUGAUUAACUUAACACCUUUAAAGCAGUUUGUCUGAAUAUCUAUUUCUGAAUAAACAUAAUUCAAAAAUACAACUUUCAACAACGGAUCUCUUGGCUCUC